Molecule: ribosomal RNA, 894 nt
Filed under: Thermotoga sp. enrichment culture
Lineage: Bacteria; Thermotogati; Thermotogota; Thermotogae; Thermotogales; Thermotogaceae
Description: bacterial SSU rRNA
Rfam family: Bacterial small subunit ribosomal RNA
Source: RNAcentral
UGGGGAAUUUUGGACAAUGGGCGAAAGCCUGAUCCAGCGACGCCGCGUGAGGGACGAAGCCCUUCGGGGUGUAAACCUCUGUUGUGAGGGACGAAUAAGAUCUGGAGGAAAUGCCAGAUCGAUGACGGUACCUCACGAGAAAGCCCCGGCUAACUACGUGCCAGCAGCCGCGGUAAUACGUAGGGGGCGAGCGUUACCCGGAUUCACUGGGCGUAAAGGGGGCGCAGGCGAUCCAGUAUGUCGGGUGUGAAAUCCCACAGCUCAACUGUGGAAUUGCGCCCGAAACUACUGGGUUUGGGGCUGGUAGAGGGAGACGGAACUGCUGGUGUAGGGGUGAAAUCCGUAGAUAUCAGCAGGAACGCCGGUGGGGAAGCCGGUCUCCUGGGCCAAGCCCGACGCUGAGGCCCGAAAGCUAGGGGAGCAAACCGGAUUAGAUACCCGGGUAGUCCUAGCCGUAAACGAUGCCCACUAGGUGUGGGGGAGUCAUUCCUCCGUGCUGUAGCUAACGCGUUAAGUGGGCCGCCUGGGGAGUACGCCCGCAAGGGUGAAACUCAAAGGAAUUGGCGGGACCCCGCACAAGCGGUGGAGCGUGUGGUUUAAUUGGAUGCUAAGCCAAGAACCUUACCAGGGCUUGACAUGCACGUGGUACCAACCCGAAAGGGAAGGGACCCUUUCCUUUUGGAAAGGGAGCCUGCACAGGUGAUGCACGGCCGUCCUCAGCUCGUGCCUUGAGGUGUUGGGGAUAAAUCCCUCAAUUAAGCGCAUCCCCUGACCUUCAUCUGCCAAGAGAUUACUGCCGAGCAACUCUUAAAUGAGAACGGCCCGCCCAUUAAGGCCGAUCAAAACCCAGGGAAAAAACAACGCGCCAACACAUGUACCACCUAAAACGUUGUG